GGAGUAAAGCUUGUCGUGAGUGGUCAGCAGACGGCGUAGUACUCGGUAGCAGUAACCGAGGAAGGCC
This is a non-coding RNA of Burkholderiales bacterium YL45, 67 nucleotides long. The record is from Rfam. NCBI's taxonomy places the organism in Bacteria, Pseudomonadati, Pseudomonadota, Betaproteobacteria, Burkholderiales.